This is a long non-coding RNA of Amphibalanus amphitrite, 748 nucleotides long. RefSeq lists it as uncharacterized. The record is from RefSeq and is a predicted model, not a curated record. The transcript is spliced from 2 exons. NCBI's taxonomy places the organism in Eukaryota, Metazoa, Arthropoda, Thecostraca, Balanomorpha, Balanidae.
GCGGCCGCUGAUCUACAUCUCAGCUGAUUAUACUGAACAGACGGAGGAGAGUGAGGCGCUGGACGAGCCUGUCUCUUGCCGUGCCGAAGACGCUGCGUCGGAAGACCGUCAGUUCCGGUUGGUGAAUCUGGCUGCUCUGACUCCGUCCAGCUGGCCGACGAGUGCGUGCCAAGACAGCCGCCGCCGCCGCCGCCGCGCGCGCGCCAAGACGGCCGUCUACCGGCGCCGAUGCCGCCACGCGCACGCUAGACGCCCGUCCACUGGUGUCACCGCCCCACGCGCGCGCACAGUCGGCAGCCGCCGCGUGUGCGUGCCCGCCCAGAAUAUGCGUUCUGCCGCCGUUGACUGCGGCUCGAGAUUCAUGUUCAAGGUUUAGGCAUACACUCAUUGUUAAUUGUCUACGUUCAUGAAGGUGCGUGGUGACAAAGAUGCCUCGUCUGUGGCAGCGGAUUUGCUUGUUCCGCCUCAACAUGUGCAAAGUUGUUAUGUAAACUGAUGCGCUCGGCAUUCGCCGUCCGCUCGCGCUGGUGGCGCGCGAACGAAUGCCUGGCCCUGUUCAUGCGGACCUGACGAGCGGCGGUAUGACGCAAUCACAUAGGCGGAUUACUUUUCACCGCGAAGAAAAUCAUUAUCAGCUGGCUUAAAAUUAUACAAUUGUUUGCCCUCAGUUCGCCAGGUAAUAUCAUUCUUUGAUCAUUCAUGCUGACUUGCGUGGCUGAUAUUUGAUAAUAUAUAGUGUGAAGCGUUC